This 253-nucleotide ribosomal RNA is filed under the name uncultured bacterium. RNAcentral describes it as "partial 16S ribosomal RNA". It matches the Rfam family "Bacterial small subunit ribosomal RNA", at positions 524 to 776 of the family's 1533-position model. The record is from RNAcentral.
UACGUAGGGGGCUAGCGUUGUCCGGAUUUAUUGGGCGUAAAGGGCGCGUAGGCGGCGUAACAAGUCACUUGUGAAAUCUCCGGGCUUAACCCGGAGCGGCCAAGUGAUACUGUUGUGCUAGAGUGCUGAAGGGGCUACUGGAAUUCUCGGUGUAGCGGUGGAAUGCGCAGAUAUCAGGAAGAACACCAACGGCGAAGGCAGCUCGCUGGGACGGUACUGACGCUGAGACGCGAAAGCGUGGGGAGCGAACAGG